Molecule: small nuclear RNA, 104 nt
Organism: Cervus hanglu yarkandensis (Yarkand deer)
Lineage: Eukaryota; Metazoa; Chordata; Mammalia; Artiodactyla; Cervidae
Source: Ensembl
GUGCUGGCUUCAGCAGCACAUAUACUAAAAUUGGAACCAUACACAGAAGAUUAGUAUGGUCCCUGAACAAGUAUGACAUGCUUCGUGAAGCCGUCCAUAUUUUU